This 29-nucleotide non-coding RNA is filed under the name Homo sapiens (human). The record is from RNAcentral. Lineage: Eukaryota; Metazoa; Chordata; Mammalia; Primates; Hominidae.
UGGGAUGAGAAACGGGACUUUAUGGCAGC